UUAAUCAUCUUUCAAUUAGAAUUAGGCGUUGAUCUAUUUCUUCAGCCAUUGCGCUGCACUGAUUUUCACCAGAAAUGAGUCCCAUGCAAUACAACAUCCUCAAGACCGCAGAUGAUACGGUGAUUUUUCUAAAAGUGCUGAAAUGGGCUCUGGAGGCUCAGAAGCACCAUCAGCUGGGUGCACCCUUCGCAACAGCCUUGGCCUGAGGCUGGAAUGGUGCCGCACACUUCCCUGCCAUCGUUCCACCAAGAAGAAACACGUCUCCAGGAAAAGGACUGUUUUAUCACGAAAAACAGCAAAAAAAGAGCAGAAAAUAAUGUUUUAUGAGUGACAGACUAAUAACAAUUACUAAUAUUCAUCAUUGCUCUAUGUGCAGUGUUGCUGUGUAUGUGUAAUUGUUUAAUUUUUGCGCUUGUACA
Molecule: long non-coding RNA, 419 nt
Organism: Scleropages formosus (Asian bonytongue)
Lineage: Eukaryota; Metazoa; Chordata; Actinopteri; Osteoglossiformes; Osteoglossidae
Exons: 3
Source: RefSeq, a predicted model, not a curated record